GGAGGAUUAGCUCAGUUGGCUAGAGUGCUACGUUGACAUCGUAGAGGUCACUGGUUCAAGCCCAGUAUUCUCCACCA
Molecule: transfer RNA, 77 nt
Filed under: Tissierellia bacterium
Lineage: Bacteria; Bacillati; Bacillota; Tissierellia
Also listed under: 1 other name
Description: tRNA-Val
Rfam family: tRNA
About the family: Transfer RNA (tRNA) molecules are approximately 80 nucleotides in length. Their secondary structure includes four short double-helical elements and three loops (D, anti-codon, and T loops).
Source: RNAcentral